CUUGAUCGACCCGAGCCAGAGCGGCUGAUCGCGGUCCUGCCCGUACGUGGCGAGCAGGGCCUGCGCCUC
This 69-nucleotide antisense RNA is filed under the name Micromonospora sp. HK10. RNAcentral describes it as "ASpks sRNA". It matches the Rfam family "ASpks TB sRNA". Lineage: Bacteria; Bacillati; Actinomycetota; Actinomycetes; Micromonosporales; Micromonosporaceae. The record is from RNAcentral.